GGGGAAUUUUGGACAAUGGGCGCAAGCCUGAUCCAGCCAUGCCGCGUGUCUGAAGAAGGCCUUCGGGUUGUAAAGGACUUUUGUCAGGGAAGAAAAGGGCGGGGUUAAUACCCCUGUCUGAUGACGGUACCUGAAGAAUAAGCACCGGCUAACUACGUGCCAGCAGCCGCGGUAAUACGUAGGGUGCGAGCGUUAAUCGGAAUUACUGGGCGUAAAGCGGGCGCAGACGGUUACUUAAGCAGGAUGUGAAAUCCCCGGGCUCAACCUGGGAACUGCGUUCUGAACUGGGUGACUAGAGUGUGUCAGAGGGAGGUAGAAUUCCACGUGUAGCAGUGAAAUGCGUAGAGAUGUGGAGGAAUACCGAUGGCGAAGGCAGCCUCCUGGGAUAACACUGACGUUCAUGCCCGAAAGCGUGGGUAGCAAACAGGAUUAGAUACCCUGGUAGUCCACGCCCUAAACGAUGUCGAUUAGCUGUUGGGCAGCUUGACUGCUUAGUAGCGAAGCUAACGCGUGAAAUCGACCGCCUGGGGAGUACGGUCGCAAGAUUA
This 548-nucleotide ribosomal RNA is filed under the name uncultured bacterium. Its description in RNAcentral is "bacterial SSU rRNA". It matches the Rfam family "Bacterial small subunit ribosomal RNA", at positions 356 to 896 of the family's 1533-position model. The record is from RNAcentral.